This 198-nucleotide ribosomal RNA is filed under the name uncultured bacterium. Its description in RNAcentral is "partial 16S ribosomal RNA". It matches the Rfam family "Bacterial small subunit ribosomal RNA", at positions 328 to 539 of the family's 1533-position model. The record is from RNAcentral.
ACGCUCGACACCUACGGGAGACAGCAGUGGGGAAUAUUGCACAAUGGAGGAAACUCUGAUGCAGCGAUGCCGCGUGAGGGAAGAAGGUUUUCGGAUUGUAAACCUCUGUCUUUGGGGACGAUAAUGACGGUACCCAAGGAGGAAGCUCCGGCUAACUACGUGCCAGGAGCCGCGGUAAUCUGAGCGGGCUGGCAAGGC